This 383-nucleotide ribosomal RNA is filed under the name uncultured eukaryote. RNAcentral's name for it is "partial 18S ribosomal RNA". It matches the Rfam family "Eukaryotic small subunit ribosomal RNA", at positions 592 to 976 of the family's 1831-position model. The record is from RNAcentral.
CAAUAGCGUAUAUUAAAGUUGUUGCAGUUAAAAAGCUCGUAGUUGGAUUUCUGGUGGGAGCGAUCGGUCUGGCGCUUAGCGCGAGUACUUGCAUCGUCUCCGGCCAUCCUUGGGGAAAGUCUGUCUGGCAUUAAGUUGUCGGGCAGAGGAUCCUCAUCGUUUACUGUGAAAAAAUUAGAGUGUUCAAAGCAGGCUUAUGCCGUUGAAUAUAUUAGCAUGGAAUAAUAAGAUAGGACCUUGGUACUAUUUUGUUGGUUUGCGCACCAAAGUAAUGAUUAAUAGGGACAGUUGGGGGUAUUCGUAUUCCGUUGUCAGAGGUGAAAUUCUUGGAUUUACGGAAGACGAACUACUGCGAAAGCAUUUACCAAGGAUGUUUUCAUUAA